This 253-nucleotide ribosomal RNA is filed under the name uncultured bacterium. RNAcentral's name for it is "partial 16S ribosomal RNA". It matches the Rfam family "Bacterial small subunit ribosomal RNA", at positions 524 to 776 of the family's 1533-position model. The record is from RNAcentral.
UACGUAGGCAGCGAGCGUUGUUCGGAAUUACUGGGCGUAAAGAGUGUGUAGGCGGUGUUCCCAGUCUGUUGUGAAAUCCCUCAGCUCAACUGAGGAAGUGCGCCCGAAACUGCUUUGCUUGAGUGUCGGAGAGGAUGGCGGAAUUCCCCAAGUAGAGGUGAAAUUCGUAGAUAUGGGGAGGAACACCGGUGGCGAAGGCGGCCAUCUGGACGAUUACUGACGCUGAGACGCGAAAGCGUGGGUAGCAAACAGG